This 684-nucleotide long non-coding RNA is filed under the name Gallus gallus (chicken). The record is from RNAcentral. Lineage: Eukaryota; Metazoa; Chordata; Aves; Galliformes; Phasianidae.
CAGAAUCCGUUUCCAAUUUGGUCUCUGGUCUUCUGCUGGGAAGGGAGUGUCUCCUCCUGGCAACACCCCGCCUAACACUCGCGCCUCACUCAUUCAGAGUCAAGAUUAUGUCAUCUUCCAAGUCGGAGUUAUCAGAGCUGUCAGUAUCUCCAAGAAUCAGCUCAACUUCCUCAUCAGCAUCAGAGUCUUCAUCUUCACCCUCAUCACCCUCUUCCAGGAGGUUGGCAAGUUCCUCAUCAUCGGAGGGCGAAAAGUCAUUUUCUCCAUCCUCACCAGCGUUCUCAUUGUUCUCAUCCUCCUCCAACUCAGCCUCCAGCAGCUGGUCUGUAUCUAAUUCAUCGAGGUCAUCUGUAUCAUCAUCAUCUUCGUCAUCAUCUUCUUCCUCUUGCUCUUCUUCCUCCUGAUCUUCUUCUUCAUCCUCUUCAUCUUCUGCCAAACGCUGCCUGCCCACUUCAUACAGUCUGCAAACUGUAUCCAUGUUCAUGGAAUCCAUGCUGCCUUGAUUCUCAAUGACAGCCAGAUAGCAAUCCUUGCUGUCUGUGCACAAGUCAAAGAUAUUCCGCUUUACAUCUAUGGUAGCUAUGGGUUUAUAAUCAGUGGCAUUAAACGUCCUGAAAGAAGAGCCGAAGGGACUUCUCAUUCUCUCCUCCAGAAGUUCAUCUUCAUCAUCUGCCUGCAACAUAG